Molecule: ribosomal RNA, 369 nt
Filed under: uncultured organism
Description: partial 16S ribosomal RNA
Rfam family: Bacterial small subunit ribosomal RNA
Source: RNAcentral
GGAGGGUGCGAGCGUUAAUCGGAAUUACUGGGCGUAAAGGGUACGUAGGUGGCCCGGAAAGUUGGAUGUGAAAGCCCCAGGCUCAACUUGGGAAUUGCAUCCAAAACUAACGAGCUAGAGUACAGAAGAGGAGAGCGGAAUUUCCGGUGUAGCGGUGAAAUGCGUAGAUAUCGGAAGGAACAUCAGAGACGAAGGCGGCUCUCUGGUCUGAUACUGACACUGAGGUACGAAAGCGUGGGUAGCAAACAGGAUUAGAUACCCUGGUAGUCCACGCCGUAAAUGGUGAGAACUGGCUGUUGGGUGUUAGGCAUCUAGUGGCGAAGCAAACGCGUUAAGUUCUCCGCCUGGGGGAGUACGGCCGCAAGGUUA